ACCUUGCCUUAGGAUGUGACGUAUGAAAAAGGGAUGAAAGAUGUCCCUUGAUCAGAAUCAAAGGUCCUUCUGCCAAGGUGAGUAAUGCCUGUGCAGAAGCCCUUUCCAGAGAACCAAGUGGAGUCUGGAGUGUUAAGGAUGUGCCGGGAAGCAGCCAGAUGAGGGUGUCAAGCCAGGACGUUGUCUCUGAUGGUGGCACACUGGAUCCAGGGCUCCUGAGUGGCCAGUCCAAAGCCUUUGGACAGGUCUGACACUGCCACCCACCCACACAGCCUGCAGAGAGUCAAGGAAGGCAGCAUGGGGACCAGCUCCUUGUUGGUCCCUUCCAUGCCCAGGCUCUGUCUCCCAGAAGCAUCCUCAGAUGCAGCUGACAGCCUCUAAGGUUAAGGGGUCUAGAUGUAGGUUCACUAUGUACUGGAGGAAGUGGCUCUUUGGUUCCAGCCUGGCAGCUGUCCCAUAGCCACACUGUGUGUCAGGUGUGGCUCAUCUUCACUUAAAAACAUGGCCUCCCUCAGUUCUUCACUGUCUCUGGACCUCUUCUGUAGGUAGCCACACUUUCAGAAAGGACAGCUGACAGCAGACUUGAGUUUUCUUCUUGUUCUAACUCUAUGACCCUAUCAGUGCACUAUGACCCUAUCACAACCUGUGGGUCGCAACCCUUUUGGAGUCCAACAUCUUUCACAGGGG
RNAcentral lists this long non-coding RNA (687 nucleotides) under Rattus norvegicus (Norway rat). RNAcentral describes it as "long non-coding RNA NONRATT029813". The record is from RNAcentral. Lineage: Eukaryota; Metazoa; Chordata; Mammalia; Rodentia; Muridae.